AUUUGUCUGGUUAAUUCCGAUAACGAACGAGACCUUAACCUGCUAACUAGUCUCCUUCAUUUUAUGGAGUUUGACUUCUUAGAGGGACUAUGCAUGUCAAGUGCAUGGAAGUUUGAGGCAAUAACAGGUCUGUGAUGCCCUUAUAUGUCCUGGGCUGCACGCGUGCUACACUGAUGCAUACAACAAGUGCCUAGCUAGACAUAGUAUGGCAAUCUGGAAUAUGCAUCGUGAUGGGGAUAGAUCUUUGCAAUUAUAGAUCUUGAACGAGGAAUUCCUAGUAAGUGCAAGUCAUCAUCUUGCAUUGAUUAUGUCCCUGCCCUUUGUACACACCGCCCGUCGCUCCUACCGAUACCGGGUGAUCCGGUGAACCUUUUGGACCUCGCAAGAGGAAAAAUAAGUAAACCACAUCACCUAGAGGAAGGAGAAGUCGUAACAAGGUUUCCGUAGGUGAACCUGCRGAAGGAUCA
This 467-nucleotide ribosomal RNA is filed under the name uncultured ciliate. RNAcentral's name for it is "SSU rRNA". It matches the Rfam family "Eukaryotic small subunit ribosomal RNA". The record is from RNAcentral. Lineage: Eukaryota; Ciliophora.